RNAcentral lists this ribosomal RNA (580 nucleotides) under Palaeagapetus nearcticus. RNAcentral describes it as "SSU rRNA". It matches the Rfam family "Eukaryotic small subunit ribosomal RNA", at positions 604 to 1152 of the family's 1831-position model. The record is from RNAcentral. Lineage: Eukaryota; Metazoa; Arthropoda; Insecta; Trichoptera; Hydroptilidae.
CUAAAGUUGUUGCGGUUAAAAAGCUCGUAGUUGAAAUUGUGUCCUGCGGUGUCGGUCUACCGACUGCGGUACGACAGGCACGUCUGCGGGGCUUCUCGCCGGUGCGUAUUCCGCCGGUACGUCGCGGUCGGCUUUACGGUCGGCCGUGCGUCGAGGCGGGCCGUCGCGGCUGUUUACUUUGAACAAAUUAGAGUGCUCAAAGCGGGCUAAGUUUCGCCUGAAUAUUGUACGCAUGGAAUAAUAGAAUAGGACCUCGGUUCUGUUUUGUUGGCUUUCUGAUACCAGAGGUAAUGAUUAAUAGGGACAAGUGGGGGCAUUCGUAUUGCGACGUUAGAGGUGAAAUUCUUGGAUCGUCGCAAGACGGACUAAAGCGAAAGCAUUUGCCAAAGGUGUUUUCAUUAAUCAAGAACGAAAGUUAGAGGUUCGAAGGCGAUUAGAUACCGCUGUAGUUCUAACCAUAAAUGAUGCCAGCCAGCGAUCCGCCGAAAUUACACAAAAUUAUUCCGGUGGGCAGCUCCCGGGAAACCAAAGCUUUCGGGCUCCGGGGGGAGUAUGGUUGCAAAGCUGAAACUUAAAGGAU